This 927-nucleotide ribosomal RNA is filed under the name Acinetobacter baumannii. RNAcentral describes it as "partial 23S ribosomal RNA". It matches the Rfam family "Bacterial large subunit ribosomal RNA", at positions 1 to 970 of the family's 2925-position model. The record is from RNAcentral. Lineage: Bacteria; Pseudomonadati; Pseudomonadota; Gammaproteobacteria; Moraxellales; Moraxellaceae.
GUUGUAUAGUCAAGUAAUUAAGUGCAUGUGGUGGAUGCCUUGGCAGUCAGAGGCGAUGAAAGACGUGAUAGCCUGCGAAAAGCUCCGGGGAGGCGGCAAAUAUCCUUUGAUCCGGAGAUGUCUGAAUGGGGGAACCCACCUACUUUAAGGUAGGUAUUGCAACAUGAAUACAUAGUGUUGCAAGGCGAACGAGGGGAAGUGAAACAUCUCAGUACCCUUAGGAAAAGAAAUCAAUUGAGAUUCCCUCAGUAGCGGCGAGCGAACGGGGAUCAGCCCAUUAAGUUAUGUGUGUUUUAGUGGAACGCUCUGGGAAGUGCGAACGUAGAGGGUGAUAUUCCCGUACACGAAAGGGCACACAUAAUGAUGACGAGUAGGGCGAGGCACGUGAAACCUUGUCUGAAUAUGGGGGGACCAUCCUCCAAGGCUAAAUACUCCUGACUGACCGAUAGUGAACCAGUACCGUGAGGGAAAGGCGAAAAGAACCCCUGUGAGGGGAGUGAAAUAGAUCCUGAAACCGCAUGCAUACAAGCAGUGGGAGCACCUUCGUGGUGUGACUGCGUACCUUUUGUAUAAUGGGUCAGCGACUUAUAUUCAGUAGCAAGGUUAACCGUAUAGGGGAGCCGUAGAGAAAUCGAGUCUUAAUAGGGCGUUUAGUUGCUGGGUAUAGACCCGAAACCAGGCGAUCUAUCCAUGAGCAGGUUGAAGGUUGGGUAACACUAACUGGAGGACCGAACCCACUGUCGUUGAAAAGCCAGGGGAUGACUUGUGGAUAGGGGUGAAAGGCUAAUCAAGCCUGGUGAUAGCUGGUUCUCCCCGAAAGCUAUUUAGGUAGCGCCUCGGACGAAUACCAUAGGGGGUAGAGCACUGUUUCGGCUAGGGGGUCAUCCCGACUUACCAAACCGAUGCAAACUCCGAAUACCUAUGAGU